Molecule: long non-coding RNA, 1090 nt
Organism: Hydra vulgaris (swiftwater hydra)
Lineage: Eukaryota; Metazoa; Cnidaria; Hydrozoa; Anthoathecata; Hydridae
Source: RefSeq, a predicted model, not a curated record
UGUAAGUGCAAUAUUGUAGCAGCUAAAUUUAUGUAAAAAUGAUCAAUAAUAAAAAUGUACUCCUUUUUUUAGAUUUUUAAAGAAAACAGAAAAAAACAAAAAAAAAACAUGAUUAAUGAUUGUUGUGGCUCAAAUUUAGAUUUAUGUCAAAAAAUCGUAGCAAACUUUCCAUGUUAUUGAGCUGCAAAAGAAAUAAUCAAAAACGGAAAAAGUAAAGAAGUUCCACCUGAUAGAAAAGUUUUAAUUCUUGGACUAGAAUAGGAAUUAACUACCAAUGGUAAAAUUUGUGUAUCAAAAAAUAAUGGAUCUGAUGAUAGAAUGGUUAUAUUUGGAACUGUAGUUUUUCUUGAACGCUUAUGUCAUUCAAAAAUGUGGUAUAUGGAUGGUACAUUUGAAUCAUCACCAGAUUUGUUAGCUCAACUUUAUACGAUUCAUUGCUUUAUGUCUGAUAAGAUGUUUUCUGUAUUGUACUGUUUAUUGCGUGAUAAAAAAACAAUAACUUAUGUGAGGUUUUGUAACCUAUUAAAACAAGUAAUAAUGGAAAAUGGAGAACGAAGUUUCAUGCCUUUUAAUUGAUUUUGAAUCAGUAGUUGUAUCUGCAUAAUGCUUUUCAUAAAGAAAUGAAUAAGGGGUAUCUCUGGAAUAUCUCCUAACAUUUGUGAAUUUAUUACAAGUUUAAAACUACAUCAAGCAAGAAAAUCAAAACAAACAAAAAACUAUAAAUAUAAAUAAAUUCUAAUCCUUAGACGGCCAGCAAGUGAAGGGUUGUUGUCUUUGAUACAGUUAUAAAUAUAGCUGGUUUUAAAUUAAAAUUACAAGGAUAAAUAAUGCAUAUAUUUUAUCUAACAUUUUACAUAAUUUUUGUCUGACAUAAAAUUAUAUAAAUAUUACAAUAUAAAAUAUAAAUAUAGAUUUGAUAUUUAAAAUAUAAUUAAGAAUUGAUAACAAAGUUUAAUUACCUAAUUGAUAGGUAAUUAUUUGCUUAAGUAAAAAAAGUUAGAUCUUUUAGUAUUGAGUAUUCAGUUAUAAUUUAUGUUCAUUUUAUGUGUCAAAUGUAAAACAUAUUAUUAAAUAAAUAAUUUUUUAGUGA